AAGUGUAUAGCUCAGAUGGUUAGAGCAUUGGACUUUUAAUCCACAGGCCCUGGGUUCAAGUCCCAGUAUACUUA
This 74-nucleotide transfer RNA is filed under the name Sundstroemia setigera. Its description in RNAcentral is "Rhizosolenia setigera tRNA-Lys". It matches the Rfam family "tRNA". From Rfam's summary of the family: Transfer RNA (tRNA) molecules are approximately 80 nucleotides in length. Their secondary structure includes four short double-helical elements and three loops (D, anti-codon, and T loops). Further hydrogen bonds mediate the characteristic L-shaped molecular structure. tRNAs have two regions of fundamental functional importance: the anti-codon, which is responsible for specific mRNA codon recognition, and the 3' end, to which the tRNAs corresponding amino acid is attached (by aminoacyl-tRNA synthetases). tRNAs cope with the degeneracy of the genetic code in two manners: having more than one tRNA (with a specific anti-codon) for a particular amino acid; and 'wobble' base-pairing, i.e. permitting non-standard base-pairing at the 3rd anti-codon position. Lineage: Eukaryota; Bacillariophyta; Coscinodiscophyceae; Rhizosoleniales; Rhizosoleniaceae. The record is from RNAcentral.